RNAcentral lists this ribosomal RNA (433 nucleotides) under uncultured bacterium. Its description in RNAcentral is "partial 16S ribosomal RNA". It matches the Rfam family "Bacterial small subunit ribosomal RNA", at positions 29 to 507 of the family's 1533-position model. The record is from RNAcentral.
AGCGAACGCUGGCGGCAGGCUUAACACAUGCAAGUCGAGCGGACCUUUCGGGGUCAGCGGCGGACGGGUGAGUAACGCGGGGGAACGUGCCUUCCGGUUCGGAAUAACCCUGGGAAACUAGGGCUAAGACCGGAUACGCCCAUAUGGGGAAAGGUUUACUGCCGGAAGAUCGGCCCGGGACGGCUUAGCUAGUUGGUGGGGUAACGGCAUACCAAGGCGACGAUCAGUAGCUGGUCUGAGAGGAUGAUCAGCCAGACUGGGACUAAGACCCGGCCCAGACUCCUACGGGAGGCAGCAGUGGGGAAUAUUGGACAAUGGGCGCAAGCCUAGUCCAGCCAUGCCGCGUAAGUGAUGAAGGCCGUAGGGUUGUACAGCUCUUUUAUCCGGGACGAUAGUGACGGUACCGGAGGAAUAAGCCCCGGCUAACUUCGUG